UGGGGUGUGGCUCAGCAGCAGAGCACUCGCCUAGCACAUGUGAGGCCCUGGGUUCAAUCCUCAGCAACACAU
RNAcentral lists this transfer RNA (72 nucleotides) under Ictidomys tridecemlineatus (thirteen-lined ground squirrel). Its description in RNAcentral is "Spermophilus tridecemlineatus (thirteen-lined ground squirrel) tRNA". It matches the Rfam family "tRNA". Rfam says of the family: Transfer RNA (tRNA) molecules are approximately 80 nucleotides in length. Lineage: Eukaryota; Metazoa; Chordata; Mammalia; Rodentia; Sciuridae. The record is from Rfam by way of RNAcentral.